RNAcentral lists this ribosomal RNA (476 nucleotides) under uncultured organism. RNAcentral describes it as "partial 16S ribosomal RNA". It matches the Rfam family "Bacterial small subunit ribosomal RNA", at positions 334 to 801 of the family's 1533-position model. The record is from RNAcentral.
CACUCCUACGGGAGGCAGCAGUGGGGAAUUUUGGACAAUGGGGGCAACCCUGAUCCAGCAAUGCCGCGUGAGUGAAGAAGGCCUUCGGGUUGUAAAGCUCUUUUGUCAGGGAAGAAACGGUAGUAGCGAAUAACUAUUACUAAUGACGGUACCUGAAGAAUAAGCACCGGCUAACUACGUGCCAGCAGCCGCGGUAAUACGUAGGGUGCAAGCGUUAAUCGGAAUUACUGGGCGUAAAGCGUGCGCAGGCGGUUGUGUAAGUCAGAUGUGAAAUCCCCGGGCUCAACCUGGGAAUUGCAUUUGAGACUGCACGGCUAGAGUGUGUCAGAGGGGGGUAGAAUUCCACGUGUAGCAGUGAAAUGCGUAGAUAUGUGGAGGAAUACCGAUGGCGAAGGCAGCCCCCUGGGAUAACACUGACGCUCAUGCACGAAAGCGUGGGGAGCAAACAGGAUUAGAAACCCCUGUAGUCCCAUGAU